Molecule: long non-coding RNA, 632 nt
Organism: Cyprinus carpio carpio
Lineage: Eukaryota; Metazoa; Chordata; Actinopteri; Cypriniformes; Cyprinidae
Source: Ensembl
CACAGACACGCCCUUAAACGAAACCUCAAGAUCUUCGCAAUUUAACAUCGCAAAGGCCUUUAGAUUACACAGACAAAGUUUGGUGUUGAUCUGAAUAAAUCUCUAGGAGGAGUUCGUUAAAGUACAACCCCUGAAAAUGGCAAAAACUACACAAAUUUUGCAGAGAAAAUUCAAAAUAACUGACUUCCUGUUGGGAUUCGAAUUUCAUACCAAGAGACUUUUUUGUAGGUAUUGGUGUGUUACAUGUGUGUACCGAUUUUUGUACAUGUACGUGAAACGUAGCUCGAGGCGCACUCCGUUGAAAAUGUAUAGGUGGCGCUAUCGAGGCAUUUUGCCACACCCGAUGGAAUAUUGGCCUUCAGAUUUGUUCAGGCCAGGACUCUUAUCGAACAUGUGAAGUUUGGGCAAGAUUGGACAUUUUAUGCCUGAGUUACAAUAACUUUUAUUCCCAUGGCGAGACAUCGAACUUUGUGACGGCGCCAUGGACACGCCCUUUAACGAAAACUCAAGAUCUUCACAAUUUAACAUCGCACAGGCCUUUAGAAUAGAGUGACUGAAAAAACAUUUAUGUCAUAAAAUUUCUCGGGGUAGUUUGUUACAGUGUAAAAUAUGUCACUUCCUGUUGCCAGUAG